Molecule: non-coding RNA, 21 nt
Filed under: Arabidopsis thaliana (thale cress)
Lineage: Eukaryota; Viridiplantae; Streptophyta; Magnoliopsida; Brassicales; Brassicaceae
Source: RNAcentral
GGAGAAUGGUGUGGGUUGUCC